GACGAACGCUGGCGGCGUGCUUAACACAUGCAAGUCGCGCGAGAAAGUGGGGGGCAACUCCAUGAGUAAAGCGGCGCACGGGUGAGUAAUACGUAGGUAACCUACCCUUGAGACCGGGAUAACCUUCCGAAAGGAGGGCUAAUACUGGAUAAGACCACGGGGCGUUAGGCUCUGCGGUCAAAGGUGGCCUCUGCACGCAAGCUACCACUCGAAGAUGGGCCUGCGCACCAUUAGCAGUUGGCGAGGUAACGGCUCACCAAGGCGAAGAUGGUUAGCUGAUCUGAGAGGAUGAUCAGCCACACUGGGACUGAGACACGGCCCAGACUCCUACGGGAGGCAGCAGU
RNAcentral lists this ribosomal RNA (344 nucleotides) under uncultured bacterium. RNAcentral describes it as "bacterial SSU rRNA". It matches the Rfam family "Bacterial small subunit ribosomal RNA", at positions 28 to 355 of the family's 1533-position model. The record is from RNAcentral.